UACGUAGGGGCCGAGCGUUGUCCGGAGUUAUUGGGCGUAAAGCGCGCGCAGGCGGCCUCGCGCGCCCGACGUGAAAGCCCCCGGCUUAACCGGGGAGGGUCGUUGGGGACGGCGGGGCUUGAGGGCGGGAGAGGUCGGUGGAAUUCCCGGUGUAGUGGUGAAAUGCGUAGAGAUCGGGAGGAACACCUGUGGCGAAGGCGACUCACUGGCCCGAUACUGACGCUGAGGCGCGAAAGCGUGGGGAGCAAACAGG
This 253-nucleotide ribosomal RNA is filed under the name uncultured bacterium. RNAcentral describes it as "partial 16S ribosomal RNA". It matches the Rfam family "Bacterial small subunit ribosomal RNA", at positions 524 to 776 of the family's 1533-position model. The record is from RNAcentral.